CAGGUUGUUGGAGGGGAAGGAUGCAGGCUGUGAGCUCUCUCUGGGGAGUUGCUACAGGUCCCAACUGCAGGAUCACGGCUCACAGAGUGCCAGACAGACUCCAGGCUGCCUGAUGAGCCCCAAGAAGGGGCUGCACUCAUGGCAGCCUGGCCAUUGAGGACCCCAGAGGAACUAGGGAGCUUCAAUGAGGGGGAAAGGGAAAGAAGCAGCCCAGGGGACUUAAACUUUUCAAUGAAAUUAUUUUCAGGAGGGUUUUGUAUCUUCACCUUUUGAAAGAAUUACUCGCUCCCGUCCGAGAGGCCGUUUGCCAAGUUUCACCUGGUGGCAAAAGCUGGCAGUUGAAGUCCAUAAUGGGAACACUGACAAAGCUUUAUCUACAGCAUCACAACUGGCAACGCUAAACACCAUUUGAAAGACCAAUGCAGUCGGCAUUUUAAAGCAGUGCAAUACAACAUUCUUCAUUAUAGAGCAUCCUUCAGACUGAGUGUCUCAAAAUGCUUCAGAGAGAAUUCAUCAUGAGCGAGAGAACAAGGCAAAUAAAGCUUGUGGGUGACACUUGGAGAGAGGAAACAGCUUAGAGUGUACGUGUAGGUGUGGGAAGGGAGACUUUCCUUACCCAAGGAGAGUCAUGGGGGAGGGGCAGAGAGGAGCAUCAUGAACAGGAGAUCAACGAGUCAGGUUGGAGCUAUGCACAGAGUCUGUAACACUAGAUAAACUUGUCCUUGGAGUCAGUAACUGGGUUUCUCUGGUUCCCUUUUAGGCCAGCCUUGGGAGGCUACGUUCUGGGUUUUGCAGCUCAAAGAUCUUUCUAAAACGGGUCAGAUCUGAACAUGGCACCUAAACACCCUGAACUUUGGGGAAAUUUGGGUGAGGACUGUAUUCCAGGAGUAGUCUCAGCUACACUGCCCUGCCUUGUGCCUGGCUCUCUGGAAAGCAGCCCUGGGGGAAGGGGAAUGUGUGGGAGAGAAGGAUAUCAUUCCCCCUCAAGUGCCUGUAGUAAAAUCAUGGAAGAGCUGAGGCAGCCUGGAGCUUGCUUUGUGACUCACUCUUUGCAGUUUCAGGCUUUUAUCAGUUUAGAGUGCUCUAAAUUGACUCCUAAGACAGUGCCAGGGCGUUCUGAUGAUCUACAGAAAUGCCAUGCACUCAGCAAAGCUUAUCUGUAUUAUUUUUAAAAGAUUACUUAGUAUUUCAUUAGAGUUAAAUUUUCAGUGAAGGUUUGGUUUCUUGCCUACCAAGCGGCCUGGUCUGAGGCCUCUGCACUGAGCUCAAUUUUUUCCCCUCUCCGCUGCUGGGGUUGCCGUUCUGUGGUCCCAGCCGGCUGGCCUGGUGCCCCUGCUCUGCCGCCAUGAAGCUCAUGAGGUUUCUAAUGAAAUUGAAUCCUGAGACUGUGACCACUGAACUGAAGAAUGGAACCAUCACAGGAGUGGAUGUCUGUAUGAAUAAGCAUCUUAAAGCUGUGAAAAUGACACUGAAGAACAGAGAGCCUGGACAGUUGGAGACAUUGAGUAUUUGAGGAAACAACAUUAGAGACUUCAUUCUGCCAGACUGUCUACCUCUGGAUACCUUGCUAGUGGAUGUUGAACCAAAAGUCGAAUCCAAGAAAAGGGAAGCAGUUGCAGGAAGAGGCCGUGGCAGAGGACAAGGGAGACCUAGCCAAUAACUUCUCUCGCCCCACAGAUACAGGUUACAAAAUUCUAAGCAGCCUGACAUUUUUUGUACAAGUUUUGUUUAGUGUCAAUUUUUAAUAAACACAAAUGUGGAAAA
Chelonia mydas (Green sea turtle) is the source of this 1764-nucleotide long non-coding RNA. RefSeq lists it as uncharacterized. The record is from RefSeq and is a predicted model, not a curated record. The transcript is spliced from 2 exons. Lineage: Eukaryota; Metazoa; Chordata; Testudines; Cheloniidae.